AGCACCGCCAGCUACCACGCAGACAUCCUGGGGAACUGAGCACUUCUUGAAGAGAUGUGAACAGAGGUCUACUCACCUAGAUAGUGUCCCAAGGGCAAACCAAAUAAGUCAUCCCACCUAAGUCCAGCUUGGAGAGCCAGUGACUUUAUAGAAGGGUGACCUACAGGACCACGGGUGACUCAGGACAGCUGUAUCGUCAAGCCACUCCACCAAGAAAGCUGCAUCCCUGGAUCUCACUGUGCAACAUGCAGGUAACCCCACUGCCCACCACCUACCAGAGGUAGUGGAAAAGAAAGGACAUGGGGGAAGUGGACCUGUUUUAGAAAUGGUUCUGUGGAGCAACUCCCAUCUGUGUUGUCAGGAAGGUCAGCAACAGCAGCUUGAUCCACUUGCACACACUUCACAGAUACCCCAGCAGUCCAGUUCAGGAUAGUUGGGAGAGCAAACAUGAAUCAGCAGUGGUGGCG
Molecule: long non-coding RNA, 467 nt
Filed under: Mus pahari (shrew mouse)
Lineage: Eukaryota; Metazoa; Chordata; Mammalia; Rodentia; Muridae
Description: lncRNA (MGP_PahariEiJ_G0003077.1)
Source: RNAcentral